Molecule: non-coding RNA, 45 nt
Filed under: Schistosoma margrebowiei
Lineage: Eukaryota; Metazoa; Platyhelminthes; Trematoda; Strigeidida; Schistosomatidae
Source: RNAcentral
AUCUAUCUGACAUGUCUCAAAUAGGACGAAACAUGUGUCCUGGAU